GUAGGGAAUAUUGCACAAUGGGGGAAACCCUGAUGCAGCGACGCCGCGUGAGUGAUGAAGGCCUUCGGGUCGUAAAGCUCUGUCGUAUGGGACUAACACAAUGAAGGUACCAUGCAAGAAAGGAUCGGCUAACUUCGUGCCAGCAGCCGCGGUAAGACGAGGGAUCCUAGCGUUGUUCGGAAUCAUUGGGCGUAAAGCGGGUGUAGGCGGAUUUAUAAGUCAGGUGUGAAAUCCCAGGGCUCAACCCUGGAAGUGCACUUGAUACUGUAAAUCUUGAGUGUGGUAGAGGUUACUGGAAUUGUUGGUGUAGUGGUGAAAUACGUAGAUAUCAACAGGAAUACCGGAGGCGAAGGCGAGUAACUGGGCCAACACUGACGCUGAGACCCGAAAGCGUGGGGAUCAAACAGGAUUAGAUACCCGGGUAGUCC
Molecule: ribosomal RNA, 428 nt
Filed under: uncultured bacterium
Lineage: Bacteria
Description: bacterial SSU rRNA
Rfam family: Bacterial small subunit ribosomal RNA
Source: RNAcentral